Long non-coding RNA from Scomber japonicus (chub mackerel), 232 nucleotides. RefSeq lists it as uncharacterized. Lineage: Eukaryota; Metazoa; Chordata; Actinopteri; Scombriformes; Scombridae. The transcript is spliced from 3 exons. The record is from RefSeq and is a predicted model, not a curated record.
CUUUCAGGAGCUGCAAUUAAGUGGAAUUUCCUUCGUACGUAAGUCAAAAAGCUUUGAAGCAGAGCUGGACUGGAGGUGUUACGGCUGCAAGCAGCAAUAUGACGACCGGGCUUCAAGUGCACAGAUUCAGUCAUAAAGGUGGAGCCUGCUGCUCAGGCCGAGAGAGAGUCUAAAGCGCUCCCGAUUGAAAAAAAACGAGGGAGGGAGGGGAAGGAGAAGAAAAGAAGCGAGG